This 3031-nucleotide ribosomal RNA is filed under the name Listeria monocytogenes. Its description in RNAcentral is "23S ribosomal RNA". It matches the Rfam family "Bacterial large subunit ribosomal RNA". Lineage: Bacteria; Bacillati; Bacillota; Bacilli; Caryophanales; Listeriaceae. The record is from RNAcentral.
GGUUAAGUUAGAAAGGGCGCACGGUGGAUGCCUUGGCACUAGGAGCCGAAGAAGGACGGGACUAACACCGAUAUGCUUUGGGGAGCUGUACGUAAGCGUUGAUCCAGAGAUUUCCGAAUGGGGGAACCCACUAUCUUUAGUCGGAUAGUAUCCUUACGUGAAUACAUAGCGUGAGGAAGGCAGACCCAGGGAACUGAAACAUCUAAGUACCUGGAGGAAGAGAAAGAAAAAUCGAUUUCCUGAGUAGCGGCGAGCGAAACGGAAAGAGCCCAAACCAAGAAGCUUGCUUCUUGGGGUUGUAGGACACUCUAUACGGAGUUACAAAAGAAAGUUAUAAAUGAAGCGGUCUGGAAAGGCCCGCCAAAGACGGUAACAGCCCGGUAGUUGAAAUGGCUUUCCCUCCAGAGUGGAUCCUGAGUACGGCGGAACACGUGAAAUUCCGUCGGAAUCCGGGAGGACCAUCUCCCAAGGCUAAAUACUCCCUAGUGACCGAUAGUGAACCAGUACCGUGAGGGAAAGGUGAAAAGCACCCCGGAAGGGGAGUGAAACAGUUCCUGAAACCGUGUGCCUACAAGUAGUUAGAGCCCGUUAAUGGGUGAUAGCGUGCCUUUUGUAGAAUGAACCGGCGAGUUACGAUUUGUUGCAAGGUUAAGCGGAAAAAGCGGAGCCGUAGCGAAAGCGAGUCUGAAUAGGGCGCAUAAGUAACAGGUCGUAGACCCGAAACCAGGUGAUCUACCCAUGUCCAGGAUGAAGGUAAGGUAAUACUUACUGGAGGUCCGAACCCACGCACGUUGAAAAGUGCGGGGAUGAGGUGUGGGUAGCGGAGAAAUUCCAAUCGAACUUGGAGAUAGCUGGUUCUCUCCGAAAUAGCUUUAGGGCUAGCCUCGAGGUAAAGAGUCAUGGAGGUAGAGCACUGUUUGGACUAGGGGCCCUUCUCGGGUUACCGAAUUCAGAUAAACUCCGAAUGCCAUGUACUUAUACUCGGGAGUCAGACUGCGAGUGAUAAGAUCCGUAGUCGAAAGGGAAACAGCCCAGACCACCAGUUAAGGUCCCCAAAUAUAUGUUAAGUGGAAAAGGAUGUGGGGUUGCUUAGACAACCAGGAUGUUGGCUUAGAAGCAGCCACCAUUGAAAGAGUGCGUAAUAGCUCACUGGUCGAGUGACCCCGCGCCGAAAAUGUACCGGGGCUAAACAUAUUACCGAAACUGUGGAUGAACCUCUUUAGAGGUUCGUGGUAGGAGAGCGUUCUAAGGGCGGUGAAGUCAGACCGGAAGGACUGGUGGAGCGCUUAGAAGUGAGAAUGCCGGUAUGAGUAGCGAAAGAAGGGUGAGAAUCCCUUCCACCGAAUAUCUAAGGUUUCCUGAGGAAGGCUCGUCCGCUCAGGGUUAGUCGGGACCUAAGCCGAGGCCGAUAGGCGUAGGCGAUGGACAACAGGUAGAGAUUCCUGUACCAGUGCUAAUUGUUUAACCGAUGGGGUGACACAGAAGGAUAGGGAAUCGCACGAAUGGAAAUGUGCGUCCAAGCAGUGAGUGUGAGAAGUAGGCAAAUCCGCUUCUCGCNNNNNNNNNNNNNNNNNNNNNNNNNNNNNNNNNNNNNNNNNNNNNNNNNNNNNNNNNNNNNNNNNNNNNNNNNNNNNNNNNNNNNNNNNNNNNNNNNGCGAAGCAUGAGCUGUGAUGGGGAAGGAAAUUAAGUACGGAAGUUCCUGAUUUCACGCUGUCAAGAAAAGCCUCUAGGAAGAGUAGUACUGCCCGUACCGCAAACCGACACAGGUAGAUGAGGAGAGAAUCCUAAGGUGAGCGAGAGAACUCUCGUUAAGGAACUCGGCAAAAUGACCCCGUAACUUCGGGAGAAGGGGUGCUCUAUUAGGGUGCAAGCCCGAGAGAGCCGCAGUGAAUAGGCCCAGGCGACUGUUUAGCAAAAACACAGGUCUCUGCAAAACCGUAAGGUGACGUAUAGGGGCUGACGCCUGCCCGGUGCUGGAAGGUUAAGAGGAGUGCUUAGCUUCGGCGAAGGUACGAAUUGAAGCCCCAGUAAACGGCGGCCGUAACUAUAACGGUCCUAAGGUAGCGAAAUUCCUUGUCGGGUAAGUUCCGACCCGCACGAAAGGCGCAACGAUCUGGGCACUGUCUCAACGAGAGACUCGGUGAAAUUAUAGUACCUGUGAAGAUGCAGGUUACCCGCGACAGGACGGAAAGACCCCGUGGAGCUUUACUGCAACCUGAUAUGGAAUGUUUGUACCGCUUGUACAGGAUAGGUAGGAGCCGAAGAGACGUGUGCGCUAGCAUACGAGGAGGCAAUGGUGGGAUACUACCCUGGCUGUAUGACCAUUCUAACCCGCCACGCUUAGCGCGUGGGGAGACAGUGUCAGGUGGGCAGUUUGACUGGGGCGGUCGCCUCCUAAAGAGUAACGGAGGCGCCCAAAGGUUCCCUCAGAAUGGAUGGAAAUCAUUCGCAGAGUGUAAAGGCACAAGGGAGCUUGACUGCGAGACUGACAAGUCGAGCAGGGACGAAAGUCGGGCUUAGUGAUCCGGUGGUUCCGCAUGGAAGGGCCAUCGCUCAACGGAUAAAAGCUACCCCGGGGAUAACAGGCUUAUCUCCCCCAAGAGUCCACAUCGACGGGGAGGUUUGGCACCUCGAUGUCGGCUCGUCGCAUCCUGGGGCUGUAGUCGGUCCCAAGGGUUGGGCUGUUCGCCCAUUAAAGCGGCACGCGAGCUGGGUUCAGAACGUCGUGAGACAGUUCGGUCCCUAUCCGUCGCGGGCGCAGGAAAUUUGAGAGGAGCUGUCCUUAGUACGAGAGGACCGGGAUGGACACACCGCUGGUGUACCAGUUGUUCCGCCAGGAGCAUCGCUGGGUAGCUAUGUGUGGCAGGGAUAAACGCUGAAAGCAUCUAAGCGUGAAGCCCCCCUCAAGAUGAGAUUUCCCAUUUCUUCGGAAAGUAAGAUCCCUGAAAGAUGAUCAGGUAGAUAGGUUUGGAGUGGAAGUGUAGCGAUACAUGGAGCGGACAAAUACUAAUCGAUCGAGGACUUAACCAA